RNAcentral lists this ribosomal RNA (442 nucleotides) under uncultured bacterium. Its description in RNAcentral is "bacterial SSU rRNA". It matches the Rfam family "Bacterial small subunit ribosomal RNA", at positions 56 to 518 of the family's 1533-position model. The record is from RNAcentral.
UGCAAGUCGAACGAACGGAGAUAGCUUGCUAUCGAAGUUAGUGGCGGACGGUGAGUAACACGUGAGCAGUCUGCCUUAAUGGGGAAUACGAUUGGAAACGGUCGGUAAUACCGCAUAAUAUAGCGAAACCGCAUGAUUUUGCUAUCAAAGAUUUAUCGCUUAAAGAUGAGCUCGCGUCUGAUUAGCUAGUUGGUGAGGUAACGGCUCACCAAGGCGACGAUCAGUAGCCGGACUGAGAGGUUGAACGGCCACAUUGGGACUGAGACACGGCCCAGACUCCUACGGGAGGCAGCAGUGGGGAAUAUUGCACAAUGGGCGCAAGCCUGAUGCAAGCGAUGCCGCGUGAGGGAAGAAGGUUUUCGGAUUGUAAACCUCUGUUGACAGGGACGAUAAUGACGGUACCUGUUCAGAAAGCUCCGGCUAACUACGUGCCAGCAGCUGC